Molecule: ribosomal RNA, 254 nt
Filed under: uncultured bacterium
Lineage: Bacteria
Description: partial 16S ribosomal RNA
Rfam family: Bacterial small subunit ribosomal RNA
Source: RNAcentral
UACGGGGGGGGCAAGCGUUGUUCGGAAUUACUGGGCGUAAAGGGCUCGUAGGCGGCCAACUAAGUCAGACGUGAAAUCCCUCGGCUUAACCGGGGAACUGCGUCUGAUACUGGAUGGCUUGAGUUUGGGAGAGGGAUGCGGAAUUCCAGGUGUAGCGGUGAAAUGCGUAGAUAUCUGGAGGAACCCCGGUGGCGAAGGCGGCAUCCUGGACCAACACCGACGCUGAGUGAGCGAAAGCCAGGGGAGCAAACGGG